UACGAAGGGGGCUAGCGUUGCUCGGAAUUACUGGGCGUAAAGCGCACGUAGGCGGCUUUCUAAGUCGGGGGUGAAAUCCUGGAGCUCAACUCCAGAACUGCCUUCGAUACUGGAGAGCUUGAGUCCGGGAGAGGUGAGUGGAACUGGCGAGUGUAGAGGUGAAAUUCGUAGAUAUUCGCAAGAACACCAGUGGCGAAGGCGGCUCACUGGCCCGGUACUGACGCUGAGGUGCGAAAGCGUGGG
Molecule: ribosomal RNA, 243 nt
Filed under: uncultured bacterium
Lineage: Bacteria
Description: partial 16S ribosomal RNA
Rfam family: Bacterial small subunit ribosomal RNA
Source: RNAcentral